UACGUAGGGGGCAAGCGUUGUCCGGAAUCAUUGGGCGUAAAGAGCGUGUAGGCGGUCCGGUAAGUCGGCUGUGAAAGUCCAGGGCUCAACCCUGGGAUGCCGGUCGAUACUGCCGGACUAGAGUUCGGAAGAGGCGAGUGGAAUUCCCGGUGUAGCGGUGAAAUGCGCAGAUAUCGGGAGGAACACCUAUUGCGAAGGCAGCUCGCUGGGACGUUACUGACGCUGAGACGCGAAAGCGUGGGGAGCAAACAGG
This 253-nucleotide ribosomal RNA is filed under the name uncultured bacterium. RNAcentral's name for it is "partial 16S ribosomal RNA". It matches the Rfam family "Bacterial small subunit ribosomal RNA", at positions 524 to 776 of the family's 1533-position model. The record is from RNAcentral.